This 465-nucleotide ribosomal RNA is filed under the name uncultured bacterium. RNAcentral's name for it is "partial 16S ribosomal RNA". It matches the Rfam family "Bacterial small subunit ribosomal RNA", at positions 28 to 507 of the family's 1533-position model. The record is from RNAcentral.
GACGAACGCUGGCGGCGUGCUUAACACAUGCAAGUCGAACGGAAAGGCCCUGCUUGCAGGGUACUCGAGUGGCGAACGGGUGAGUAACACGUGGGUGAUCUGCCCUUCACUUCGGGAUAAGCCUGGGAAACUGGGUCUAAUACCGGAUAGGAGCCAUUUUUAGUGUGAUGGUUGGAAAGUUUUUUCGGUGUAGGAUGAGCUCGCGGCCUAUCAGCUUGUUGGUGGGGUAAUGGCCUACCAAGGCGGCGACGGGUAGCCGGCCUGAGAGGGUGGACGGCCACAUUGGGACUGAGAUACGGCCCAGACUCCUACGGGAGGCAGCAGUGGGGAAUAUUGCACAAUGGGCGCAAGCCUGAUGCAGCGACGCCGCGUAGGGGAUGACGGCCUUCGGGUUGUAAACUCCUUUCGCUAGGGACGAAGCUUUUUGUGACGGUACCUAGAUAAGAAGCACCGGCUAACUACGUG